Molecule: long non-coding RNA, 203 nt
Filed under: Elaeis guineensis (African oil palm)
Lineage: Eukaryota; Viridiplantae; Streptophyta; Magnoliopsida; Arecales; Arecaceae
Description: long non-coding RNA (EGUI_LNC051564)
Source: RNAcentral
UUGUGUUUAACAAGAGUUGAACCCUAUGUUGGGGAUGGUCUUUUUAAUCAAAGUCAUCCUAUUGAGCCGUCACUUCUAUCUUUUUUCUUUUGAGUGAAAAUUUCUUUCAAAUCCUCUUCCUCCUAAAUCGAAGCUCCCCCCUCCAAUUUCAACCUGAUUUUUCAUAGUCUUGGUCUCCAAUGGCACCUUGCAAACAAAUCGCC